GCCCAGAUGGUGGAAUGGUAGACACGAAGGACUCAAAAUCCUUUGCCUUAACAGCGUGCGGGUUCAAGUCCCGCUCUGGGCACCA
RNAcentral lists this transfer RNA (85 nucleotides) under Candidatus Peregrinibacteria bacterium. RNAcentral's name for it is "tRNA-Leu". It matches the Rfam family "tRNA". From Rfam's summary of the family: Transfer RNA (tRNA) molecules are approximately 80 nucleotides in length. The record is from RNAcentral. Lineage: Bacteria; Candidatus Peregrinibacteriota.